AGAACUUGGUCCUUGUAGAAAAGGGGUCUAGCUGAUAAUUAGAUACUAGAAGGUUAAAUUCCUUCCAAGUUUUG
This 74-nucleotide transfer RNA is filed under the name Paulasterias sp. SS-2022. Its description in RNAcentral is "tRNA-Ile". It matches the Rfam family "tRNA". Rfam says of the family: Transfer RNA (tRNA) molecules are approximately 80 nucleotides in length. Their secondary structure includes four short double-helical elements and three loops (D, anti-codon, and T loops). Lineage: Eukaryota; Metazoa; Echinodermata; Asteroidea; Forcipulatida; Paulasteriidae. The record is from RNAcentral.